This 74-nucleotide transfer RNA is filed under the name Trichonephila inaurata madagascariensis. It matches the Rfam family "tRNA". Rfam says of the family: Transfer RNA (tRNA) molecules are approximately 80 nucleotides in length. Their secondary structure includes four short double-helical elements and three loops (D, anti-codon, and T loops). The record is from Rfam by way of RNAcentral. Lineage: Eukaryota; Metazoa; Arthropoda; Arachnida; Araneae; Nephilidae.
ACUCCUGUAUGCGCAAUGGAUAGCGCGUUGGACUUCUAAUCCAAAGGUCGUGGGUUCGAAUUCUAUCUGGGAUG